This 404-nucleotide ribosomal RNA is filed under the name uncultured bacterium. Its description in RNAcentral is "bacterial SSU rRNA". It matches the Rfam family "Bacterial small subunit ribosomal RNA", at positions 359 to 775 of the family's 1533-position model. The record is from RNAcentral.
GAAUAUUGCACAAUGGGCGCAAGCCUGAUGCAGCGACGCCGCGUGAGGGACGAAGGCCUUCGGGUUGUAAACCUCUUUCGGCAGGGACGAAGCGAAAGUGACUGUACCUGAAGAAGAAGCGCCGGCCAACUACGUGCCAGCAGCCGCGGUAAGACGUAGGGCGCAAGCGUUGUCCGGAUUUAUUGGGCGUAAAGAGCUCGUAGGCGGCUUGUCGCGUCGACUGUGAAAACCCACGGCUCAACCGCGGGACUGCAGUCGAUACGGGCAGGCUAGAGUUCGGUAGGGGAGACUGGAAUUCCUGGUGUAGCGGUGAAAUGCGCAGAUAUCAGGAGGAACACCGGUGGCGAAGGCGGGUCUCUGGGCCGAAACUGACGCUGAGGAGCGAAAGCGUGGGGAGCGAACAG